Molecule: ribosomal RNA, 670 nt
Filed under: uncultured bacterium
Lineage: Bacteria
Description: bacterial SSU rRNA
Rfam family: Bacterial small subunit ribosomal RNA
Source: RNAcentral
GGGGAUAGCCUUUCGAAAGAAAGAUUAAUACCCGAUGUCAUAGUCCUACCGCAUGAUGGGAUUAUUAAAGAAUUUCGGUAUGGGAUGGGGAUGCGUUCCAUUAGUUAGUUGGCGGGGUAACGGCCCACCAAGACAACGAUGGAUAGGGGUUCUGAGAGGAAGGUCCCCCACAUUGGAACUGAGACACGGUCCAAACUCCUACGGGAGGCAGCAGUGAGGAAUAUUGGUCAAUGGACGAGAGUCUGAACCAGCCAAGUAGCGUGAAGGAUGACUGCCCUACGGGUUGUAAACUUCUUUUAUAUGGGAAUAAAAUGUUCCACGUGUGGGAUUUUGUAUGUACCAUAUGAAUAAGGAUCGGCUAACUCCGUGCCAGCAGCCGCGGUAAUACGGAGGAUCCGAGCGUUAUCCGGAUUUAUUGGGUUUAAAGGGAGCGUAGGUGGAUUGUUAAGUCAGUUGUGAAAGUUUGCGGCUCAACCGUAAAAUUGCAGUUGAAACUGGCAGUCUUGAGUACAGUAGAGGUGGGCGGAAUUCGUGGUGUAGCGGUGAAAUGCUUAGAUAUCACGAAGAACUCCGAUUGCGAAGGCAGCUCACUGGACUGCAACUGACACUGAGGCUCGAAAGUGUGGGUAUCAAACAGGAUUAGAUACCCUGGUAGUCCACACAGUAAACG